AUCUUGUACAUUUAAAAUGUUCCAACUCAACCAAACAAGGAUUUGGACAAUUGCCAUAGGUCCCUAGGAAAUCACAGGCAAUUUUCUUUCUGAAUUUAACCCAUAAUCAGUGCACAGCAUUCAAAGGCCUAACAACAUGCCUGCAUAUCAUUCAGAAACGCUGUACACUGACAGAAUACAGAUGAUCAGUAGAACUCAUGCCGAGGCUGUAACUGAUGACAAACCAUUAUGUCGGAGCAGUGCCUCUGGUGAAGGUUCACGUCCACGGAAUUCCACGAAAACCUCUAAUGGUGCUUUUCCACCUCC
Molecule: unclassified non-coding RNA, 306 nt
Filed under: Hevea brasiliensis (rubber tree)
Lineage: Eukaryota; Viridiplantae; Streptophyta; Magnoliopsida; Malpighiales; Euphorbiaceae
Source: RNAcentral